RNAcentral lists this unclassified non-coding RNA (3946 nucleotides) under Hevea brasiliensis (rubber tree). Lineage: Eukaryota; Viridiplantae; Streptophyta; Magnoliopsida; Malpighiales; Euphorbiaceae. The record is from RNAcentral.
GUUAUCCCCUUCCCACCUCCUACUGUCUCUCUAAUUACAAGUGAAAUGCAUGUGUAGUAAUGAGUUUUGGUAGUUGGCUUUUCAUGAGAAAAUUUUGUUUUGGUUGGUGAGGUAGUUGCUUUAAGCCGCUGAUUUUGUGGAUUGGUUGGUUCCAAAUAAUGGGCUUUAAUCUUUUCUUUGAGCUGCUGGUUCAAUGAUUCAUGAGUUAUACUCACGAGUUUAAUUAGUUCACUGGUCGGAAGAUUGUUUCGGAUAAUAAUAAAUGAUUUUUCUUGUAUAUGUUGUUUUUGUACUCCUUUUUACUGCUAUGUUGUGGGCUCUAUUUUGCCUGUUUUAGUUUCCUUUUAGCAGCUGCAUAUAUUAUAACUAUCCUUGCUUUGCUUUUCAUUUUCAGAUUUCUGCUCUCAGGUCAAUCUCAUUCUUCUUCUAUUUUAAGUUAUUGAAAUUUAAUUUACCUUUGUUCUUUUUUCUCUUUCCCUAAUUAACUUAUCAAUUAUGGAAAUUAAGUGCUUGAUGACUUUUUUUAGGCUUGGAUGUAAUGGAUCGCUAGCUUGAAUCAUUAAGUGCUUCAUCGACUAUCUAUGGUCAUUUAGCCUAUGGACUUGUGUACAUGUAUAUGUGGGUCUGAGUGACCAUGUGCUUGUUGCAGGUUUCCCAACAAUAGAAAAUGAAGAUUUUUGCAGCUCAGGUCGAGGAUGGAAAGGAAGGAAAAGAUGGGAAUCCUUCCGUUGGUCCUGUUUAUCGCAGUUUAAUAUCCAGAAAUGAUUUUCCUCAACCAGAUCCUGAUAUGAAUACAGCGUGGGAUCUUUUCAGCACGUCUGUCAAAAAGUAUCCUGGAAAUAAAAUGCUUGGUUGGCGUAAAUUUGUAGAUGGGAAGGUGGGGCCUUAUGUGUGGAAAACUUACAAGGAAGUGUAUGAAGAAGUUUUGCAAGUUGGUUCAGCGUUGCGAGCAUCUGGUGCUAAACCUGGCUGCCGAGUUGGAAUUUAUGGAUCAAACUGUCCUCAAUGGCUUGUAGCCAUGGAGGCUUGCGGCUCCCAAAGCUUGGUUUGCGUGCCUCUCUAUGAUACACUUGGUAGGCAUUCCUUUUAAAAUAUUACCAAUUUUAAAAUUUAAAUCUUCAUUAUCCCUUGAUUGAAAAGGAUUAUAGAUUCAAUUUUGUACAUGGUGUCCUCAAUGUAAAUUUUCCCAGGAUGUGUACUGAGAAUCUCCUUCCAUCUUCUCCUGCCUAAUUUGAUUCUCAAAUUCAGCACUUGCUAGUGGUUAUUUUGGUGAUUCACCUUUUGGACCAGUUCGUAAAAUUAUAGAAAGUUUAGUUGAAUGAGUUGUCUUGGAUGCACUGAUGCAGGUCCUGGUGCAGUUAAUUUUAUUAUAGAACAUGCAGAGGUUGAUUUCGUUUUUAUCCAAGAUAAAAAAGUGAAAGAAGUAAGUUCAAGAAAAUUUACCUGCUGUCAAAAUUAAUUGUAUGUUCUUUUCCAUAGAAUCUCGCAUAUGAAAGUAGCUAAUAUUUCUAAAUCAACAUAUAUUGAGCAGUUGUUGAAUCCAGAUUGCCCAUGUGCUUCACAGCUUAAAGGUCAGAAUGGAUAAACAAAUAGUGAUUUAUUGUGUGGCUGGAAGUCCUACUAAUUAAGUUUCAUUGUGGUUGUAGCCAUUGUUUGCUUCACUUCAUUUACAGAGGAAGAAAAGGACAAGGCACUCCAAAUACAGAUAAAACCAUACUCUUGGGAAGAGUUUCAACACUUGGUUAGUUCCUACAGAUGACCUAAAUGAAAAUGAUAUUUUCUGUUAACUUAUUGAAAGUAGUCCUCAGGCAGAUCAAUGUAUACAGGUUUUUCUCUUUUUGUGCUGACGAGUAUCAAGUAUCAUGAUGUUGAAUAUGCUAGUGUAUUUAUGCUAAUAAAAGUUGUGAUUUACACUUUACAUAUAGUAUUAUUCAUCAUGAUGCACCAUACUAAAGAACUGCAAAAACUAUUAAUUCUCACAUUACAGCAUAUGAUUAGUACUUAGUGCUUUUCCAAUCUUCAUUAUUGUUAACUGAAUGAGUGUUAUCCAUCAGGGCAAAGAGAAUCCGUCAGAAAUAGUGCCGCCUCAGCCUUUUAACAUUUGCACAAUAAUGUAUACAAGUGGCACCAGUGGAGAUCCCAAAGGUGUUGUGUUAACACAUGAAACAAUAGCCCUUUUUGUAAGAGGCAUGGAUCUAUUUAUGGAUCAAUUUGAAGACAAGAUGACACCUGAUGAUGUGUAUCUAUCUUUCCUGCCCCUUGCUCAUAUACUUGACCGCAUGAUUGAGGAAUACUUCUUGUCGAAAGGUGCUUCUGUUGGCUACUAUCAUGGGGAUUUGAAUGCAUUGAGAGAUGACCUGACGGAGUUGAAGCCAACAUUUUUAGCUGGUGUACCUCGGGUCUUCGAAAAAAUACAUGAAGGUAUAAAGAAGGCAUUAGAUGAACUGAAUCCUGUUAGGCGGAAAAUUUUUGAUGUUCUAUAUAAAUACAAACUUUCUUGGAUGAAUAAAGGUUAUAAACAGAAGUACGCUUCACUGUUGGCAGAUUUGUUAGCCUUCAGGAAGGUCAAAGCUAAGUUGGGUGGUCGUCUUCGAUUAAUUGUAUCUGGAGGUGCACCCUUAAGUGUUGAAGUGGAAGAAUUCUUGCGGGUUACUGCUUGUGCUUUCGUGCUCCAAGGCUAUGGGUUGACGGAGACCUGUGGACCAGUCACCAUUAGCUUUCCAGACGAAAUGUGUAUGUUGGGUGCUGUUGGGUCACCAAACACGUACAUGGAGUUGCGCCUGGAGGAGGUUCCAGAGAUGGGCUACAAUCCACUUGAUAAUCCUUCUCGUGGUGAGAUAUGUGUAAGAGGGAAGACUUUGUUUGCUGAGUACUACAAGAAUCCUGAAUUGACAAGAGAAUCCAUGAAAGACGGGUGGUUUCACACGGGGGACAUCGGGGAGAUUCUUCCAAAUGGUGUUUUGAAGAUUAUUGAUAGGAGGAAAAAUCUUAUAAAGCUUUCCCAAGGAGAAUAUGUAGCAAUUGAGUACUUGGAAAAUGUUUAUGGGAUCACUCCAAUUGUUGAAGAUAUAUGGGUGUAUGGAAACAGCUUCAAGUCGAUGCUAAUUGCAGUAGUUGUAAUCCAUGAAGAAAACGCUAAACAGUGGGCAUACGUAAAUGGUCACACGGGUUCAUUUCCUGAACUUUGUUCACUUGACCAGUUGAAGGAGUAUGUCCUUGCAGAACUAAAAUCUACCGCUGAAAGAAACAAGCUGAGAGGUUUUGAGUACGUUAAAGGAGUGAUUUUGGAUUCUUGCCCCUUUGACAUGGAGAGAGAUUUAGUGACUGCAACACUGAAGAAGAAAAGAAACAAAUUGCUCAACUAUUAUCAGGUGGAAAUUGAUGAACUUUACAAAAAAUUGGCUGUAAGAAGAGCAUAAUCAUUACUCAGUCAUCUUCAGUCUUCAUUGUUCAUUUCUGUUGCUAUACCUGUUUGAUUUGCGAGCAGAAGUUUUUCUUCGGUUAAAAAAAUGAAUAAAUAAACAACUAUAGCUGUUAGCAGUAGAAGAGAGCAAUGCAGCAAGCCAAUAAGCCUUCCAACUAUGAGCACAAAAGCUUCAAUUUCCAAAUGGUAAUAUUUAAGAAUAAACAGCAAGAUCCUUGUAGCUCUCUUAUUGCUGCAAGCUCUACAUAAUGUUGUGCUCAUAUUCAUGCUUAAUCUUUGUAAAGUCUUGUCCUCUUAUAUCUGAUUAUGAAGAAGGGAAAGGACAAAGUUGGUCAAUUUCGUGUUUUGAAGUUAAUUAUGUUCUCUUUAAUUCAAGAUUUUGAAUAUUAUCGAUUCAUAAUAAUAUUAUAGUAAUUUGUAAACAAAAUAUAAUGCAUGUGGUCUAAAUAAAAUUUGUAUUUUCUUUUUAAUGAUGAACGGUCAUUUUUUGGUUAGUAAUUGAGAAUUUCUCUCUUAAUCCAA